GCGCCACUCCCGGCCACCCUCCUCCCCCGGGACGCCAGGGCGUGUGCGGGCCACGCGGGCGCCUUCGCCGGGGGCUUCCCCUCCUGUGGUCCGCUCGGGUUCUGCUUCUGAAUCCAUCCAGGGUCCGGGAUGACGAUCCGACACCAAGGCCAACAGUACAGGCCGAGGAUGGCAUUUCUGCAGAAGGUUUCCAAGCUGCCGGCUGGUCCCGAAGAAUCAGCAAUGUUUGGGCGAAAUGUCGGAGGGUGCAGAGCUUCCUAUGCGCUCAGGCACGACUGUUCCGAGCGGCUCCCUCUAACUCCGGUGAUCCACGGGGUCACCUGCACGUGAAUGCCCCCCGUGUUGCUCUCCUUCCUUCCCCUGGCUCACUUCCCAGCUACCCACUGCCGCUUCCCAGGAUCAGCCCUGUCACCAACACUAUGAGGUCCCAUUACUAUCCCCAAUUUUACAGAUUGAAGAAUCAGCGAAAGACACAGAGAGCCAGAGAUGGGGCCCAAAACGUAAAGCCAGAGGAUCCCGUGAUUACAGAAUCAGGAGCCCUUGCAACACACAGGUGGCAUCGUCUAUGGCACAGGCCAGGGCCAGGGUAGACUACAGUUUUCUACAAAUUAAUUCAAACUGGAGGGACAGAACGCAGGGGGAGGGAGGAAGGAAAGGUGAAUUCAGUGUCACUUUUGAAAUCACUUUCCCUGAAGUUAUCAUUUUAUGAAUCUAGCAAGAGACAUGCAUACCUUGGAGAUACUGUGGGGUUGGUUCCUGACCACUGUAAUAAAGCAAAGAUUGCAAUAAAGCGAAUCA
This 798-nucleotide long non-coding RNA is filed under the name Ursus maritimus (polar bear). RNAcentral describes it as "lncRNA (ENSUMAG00000000294.1)". Lineage: Eukaryota; Metazoa; Chordata; Mammalia; Carnivora; Ursidae. The record is from RNAcentral.